Molecule: ribosomal RNA, 2931 nt
Filed under: Escherichia coli
Lineage: Bacteria; Pseudomonadati; Pseudomonadota; Gammaproteobacteria; Enterobacterales; Enterobacteriaceae
Description: 23S ribosomal RNA
Rfam family: Bacterial large subunit ribosomal RNA
Source: RNAcentral
GGGUUGUGAGGUUAAGCGACUAAGCGUACACGGUGGAUGCCCUGGCAGUCAGAGGCGAUGAAGGACGUGCUAAUCUGCGAUAAGCGUCGGUAAGGUGAUAUGAACCGUUAUAACCGGCGAUUUCCGAAUGGGGAAACCCAGUGUGUUUCGACACACUAUCAUUAACUGAAUCCAUAGGUUAAUGAGGCGAACCGGGGGAACUGAAACAUCUAAGUACCCCGAGGAAAAGAAAUCAACCGAGAUUCCCCCAGUAGCGGCGAGCGAACGGGGAGCAGCCCAGAGCCUGAAUCAGUGUGUGUGUUAGUGGAAGCGUCUGGAAAGGCGCGCGAUACAGGGUGACAGCCCCGUACACAAAAAUGCACAUAUUGUGAGCUCGAUGAGUAGGGCGGGACACGUGGUAUCCUGUCUGAAUAUGGGGGGACCAUCCUCCAAGGCUAAAUACUCCUGACUGACCGAUAGUGAACCAGUACCGUGAGGGAAAGGCGAAAAGAACCCCGGCGAGGGGAGUGAAAAAGAACCUGAAACCGUGUACGUACAAGCAGUGGGAGCACGCUUAGGCGUGUGACUGCGUACCUUUUGUAUAAUGGGUCAGCGACUUAUAUUCUGUAGCAAGGUUAACCGAAUAGGGGAGCCGAAGGGAAACCGAGUCUUAACUGGGCGUUAAGUUGCAGGGUAUAGACCCGAAACCCGGUGAUCUAGCCAUGGGCAGGUUGAAGGUUGGGUAACACUAACUGGAGGACCGAACCGACUAAUGUUGAAAAAUUAGCGGAUGACUUGUGGCUGGGGGUGAAAGGCCAAUCAAACCGGGAGAUAGCUGGUUCUCCCCGAAAGCUAUUUAGGUAGCGCCUCGUGAAUUCAUCUCCGGGGGUAGAGCACUGUUUCGGCAAGGGGGUCAUCCCGACUUACCAACCCGAUGCAAACUGCGAAUACCGGAGAAUGUUAUCACGGGAGACACACGGCGGGUGCUAACGUCCGUCGUGAAGAGGGAAACAACCCAGACCGCCAGCUAAGGUCCCAAAGUCAUGGUUAAGUGGGAAACGAUGUGGGAAGGCCCAGACAGCCAGGAUGUUGGCUUAGAAGCAGCCAUCAUUUAAAGAAAGCGUAAUAGCUCACUGGUCGAGUCGGCCUGCGCGGAAGAUGUAACGGGGCUAAACCAUGCACCGAAGCUGCGGCAGCGACGCUUAUGCGUUGUUGGGUAGGGGAGCGUUCUGUAAGCCUGCGAAGGUGUGCUGUGAGGCAUGCUGGAGGUAUCAGAAGUGCGAAUGCUGACAUAAGUAACGAUAAAGCGGGUGAAAAGCCCGCUCGCCGGAAGACCAAGGGUUCCUGUCCAACGUUAAUCGGGGCAGGGUGAGUCGACCCCUAAGGCGAGGCCGAAAGGCGUAGUCGAUGGGAAACAGGUUAAUAUUCCUGUACUUGGUGUUACUGCGAAGGGGGGACGGAGAAGGCUAUGUUGGCCGGGCGACGGUUGUCCCGGUUUAAGCGUGUAGGCUGGUUUUCCAGGCAAAUCCGGAAAAUCAAGGCUGAGGCGUGAUGACGAGGCACUACGGUGCUGAAGCAACAAAUGCCCUGCUUCCAGGAAAAGCCUCUAAGCAUCAGGUAACAUCAAAUCGUACCCCAAACCGACACAGGUGGUCAGGUAGAGAAUACCAAGGCGCUUGAGAGAACUCGGGUGAAGGAACUAGGCAAAAUGGUGCCGUAACUUCGGGAGAAGGCACGCUGAUAUGUAGGUGAAGCGACUUGCUCGUGGAGCUGAAAUCAGUCGAAGAUACCAGCUGGCUGCAACUGUUUAUUAAAAACACAGCACUGUGCAAACACGAAAGUGGACGUAUACGGUGUGACGCCUGCCCGGUGCCGGAAGGUUAAUUGAUGGGGUUAGCGCAAGCGAAGCUCUUGAUCGAAGCCCCGGUAAACGGCGGCCGUAACUAUAACGGUCCUAAGGUAGCGAAAUUCCUUGUCGGGUAAGUUCCGACCUGCACGAAUGGCGUAAUGAUGGCCAGGCUGUCUCCACCCGAGACUCAGUGAAAUUGAACUCGCUGUGAAGAUGCAGUGUACCCGCGGCAAGACGGAAAGACCCCGUGAACCUUUACUAUAGCUUGACACUGAACAUUGAGCCUUGAUGUGUAGGAUAGGUGGGAGGCUUUGAAGUGUGGACGCCAGUCUGCAUGGAGCCGACCUUGAAAUACCACCCUUUAAUGUUUGAUGUUCUAACGUUGACCCGUAAUCCGGGUUGCGGACAGUGUCUGGUGGGUAGUUUGACUGGGGCGGUCUCCUCCUAAAGAGUAACGGAGGAGCACGAAGGUUGGCUAAUCCUGGUCGGACAUCAGGAGGUUAGUGCAAUGGCAUAAGCCAGCUUGACUGCGAGCGUGACGGCGCGAGCAGGUGCGAAAGCAGGUCAUAGUGAUCCGGUGGUUCUGAAUGGAAGGGCCAUCGCUCAACGGAUAAAAGGUACUCCGGGGAUAACAGGCUGAUACCGCCCAAGAGUUCAUAUCGACGGCGGUGUUUGGCACCUCGAUGUCGGCUCAUCACAUCCUGGGGCUGAAGUAGGUCCCAAGGGUAUGGCUGUUCGCCAUUUAAAGUGGUACGCGAGCUGGGUUUAGAACGUCGUGAGACAGUUCGGUCCCUAUCUGCCGUGGGCGCUGGAGAACUGAGGGGGGCUGCUCCUAGUACGAGAGGACCGGAGUGGACGCAUCACUGGUGUUCGGGUUGUCAUGCCAAUGGCACUGCCCGGUAGCUAAAUGCGGAAGAGAUAAGUGCUGAAAGCAUCUAAGCACGAAACUUGCCCCGAGAUGAGUUCUCCCUGACUCCUUGAGAGUCCUGAAGGAACGUUGAAGACGACGACGUUGAUAGGCCGGGUGUGUAAGCGCAGCGAUGCGUUGAGCUAACCGGUACUAAUGAACCGUGAGGCUUAACCUUACAACGCCGAAGGUGUUU